This 335-nucleotide unclassified non-coding RNA is filed under the name Hevea brasiliensis (rubber tree). The record is from RNAcentral. Lineage: Eukaryota; Viridiplantae; Streptophyta; Magnoliopsida; Malpighiales; Euphorbiaceae.
GAUUAUAUAAUUAAGAAAUAGCUAAAAGGCAUAUUACCUAUGUGUAUUAACAAUUCACUUUAAAGCUUAAAGCUUAAAUGCUAAUUCAAGUAUGACCAGAACAGUAUGGUAUUGGAAUCAAAACAUGGAAAAACCAAAGCAGAACACGUCGAAAUUUCAAUUCUGUUCUGGUUCCUGGGCAUACCCUGAAUCCAAACCGGAACCACACUCUCCUAAUGGUAUCGAAUUAGUUUAAGGAGUAAUUCAUUAUUUAUAUUAGUAACACAAUUCCAUUGACAAGUAUUAUAAAAAUUCAGGAAAAGGGGAAUAAAGGAUAUAAAAUCUAUAAUGAAAAU